CAGGGUGUGAUUAUAAAAAAAAUGUUUUAAGAAAUGAAAAUUUGUUAAUGUAUACCGACAAAAAUUGCAGCCACAAAUAGCAACAACAACAAAAAAUAAUACAAGUACAAAAAGUGGUGUGUAUAACAGUAUAGCAAACAAUUACAAUACAAAAAAACACACAUUUUCAUACACUUCGUAUUAUAAAAGUAUGAGAAAAAACAAUAAUAACAAAAACAAAAACAAUUUAGUUGUUGCUAUGUGUGUUUGUCUGCCUGUCGUCUCCUCUUGAAUAACCUAAAACAACAAUUACAAUAAAAACAAGAGCAGCAACAAACUACGCCAUCAAAUCACACGGCAUAAGAACAACUACUACAACAACAAUGAAACUUAUACAAGAAAAAGGAGACAUAAAAGUAGAAAAAAAACAAUAAAAACCGUGUUUCUUUUAUAAAUAUUAAAUCAGCAAAAUAUCUUUUUUCAUAAAUAAAUUAUUUGUCAAUAAAAUUGUUUUAUAAACUUUUGCAAACACUUUAAAGUUGUUGUGUAAUACUAUAUAGAAGACGGGUUGGUCUCUUAAUUUUUUUUUCUGUACACCAUUUUUUUCUUUUACUAUUUUGCAACGCCAUUUAUAAAUUACGGAAAUUUAUUGUUGUUUAAAUAGUUUUCUGAUUAAUUAUACAUUUUUAUAUUACUUGUGUGUAUCUUUAUCAUAACUUUCAAACAUAAUUAACAAAAAAAAAAAAAACAAGAACAAAUAAAAUUGGAAAAACAGGAAUUAAUUAAAAAAAAAUACGUACAACUAUGUCGACGUCUAUGAUUGGAACCUUAAAUCUCAACUGAAACGUAGUAAAUGCUAAAGUAUCAUAUCAAGGCGUAAUAUCUACAUCAAUCGUUCGUUUGCCUGCGCUGCAGCUGCUGCCAACGUUAGCAUACACUCACACACACACGCCACCAAAAUAACACUCAAUUGUGUUUGAAAUAUUACUCAACGUCAGGCGUUCGGCAUUUGCCGUUAUUAUUCGCCGCAAAUAUCAGUUGUUGUUUGUUGGCCGCACAAAAAGCUUAAAUACGAGUGUAACAGCAAGCAAUGAAUUUAGUUGUUUGUUGGUUGUCUUACCAGUUGGUUGGAUUUUCUAUUUAGUUGGGAAAAUGUGUGUAAAAGAAAUAAAGUUACUUGUUUAGGUGUGUGUAUGUGUAGAAAAGCAGAUUUUCUCAUACAUUAAAGAAUUAUUAUGUGAGUGUGUGUUUUUAAGGGGUGAUGGUGCUGGCUAAACAAUAUAAUUAAUUACACAUUGCAGUAAAAGAAACGCUGAGAUAACACAUUCCAAAACUAAAACCGAUGAAUAUAUAUGUUAAUGUAUUGACAACAUUGUUUUCUAUAAAAGUACCAAUUUAUACUAAGCAAAGACAACAACCAUAAUCAAACUAAAACAAUAUGAUGCACACAAAUACUCUAACAGAUGGCAGUAGUGAGAAGAAAACACAACUGAGUUAAAAAUAAAAAUAAAAGAAAAAUGUUUAAUGGAAAAAAUAUAUUCUUACAUGGCAACAUUGCUGAUUUUAUUUGGGCAAAACAAAAGUGUUGCCAUAUGUAUAAUAUUGUCAAAAUAAAUAAACUAAGUGUUGCCAGUAUAAAAAAAAACGCAACAAACACAACGGGUUAGCAAAAAUAAGAGAGCUACCAUAUGUUUAAGGUUGUCUUUGUAAAUAAAGUGGCAAUUAACACGCAGAGAGUUGACGUAUGAGUAAUAUUGUUGUUUAUUUUUGAAAUGUAACGUUUUUUUCCAUCAUUAAAAGUAAAACUAUAGAUAUUUUAUUGUGUUUUAUAAAAUUUUUUUAUUUUAAAAACUAUUUAAUAACAAUUUUUUAUUAACAAAUAUAACUGCAUUUAGUUUUAUUACUAACAAAGUGCCUUUAUUUUUUUUAAUAGCUAAAACCAAAAUAUAAUGUUAUUUAAUUGUAACUACUAAUACUUGUUAGAUGAGGAGACACGAAAAACAAACAAACAUUAUAAUUAACUUAACAUAAAAGAAAAUUUUGUUAUGUAUUAACUUUAA
This 2039-nucleotide long non-coding RNA is filed under the name Lucilia cuprina (Australian sheep blowfly). RNAcentral's name for it is "uncharacterized LOC124419093". Lineage: Eukaryota; Metazoa; Arthropoda; Insecta; Diptera; Calliphoridae. The record is from RNAcentral.